GCGUCUCGGCGGACUGCCGCAACUAGAGGCGCUCGGCUUUGAUCUAACCUCAACUUGCUGAGCGGAGCGAGAGUCUGACGAAUUCGAUCGAUCAGCGGAUCAUAACCGGUUUGAUCGAUAGACGAGGUCUUCGUAACGAACUAUUUGCUAAUAAUUACGGCGAAAGUUUUGCAUUACCCGACGCCAGUGGAAUCGAGUCGAAUGGUUAAUUAGCGCCCCGGAUUACAGCAUCGCGCGUCAAUACGUACAAUGUAAUUGCUGUGCGGUUACAGACGCACGAUUAAUCGGCCGCUCUUUCCACGUAUUGUAUUGGGAGAAGGGACUCCGUCGCAUUUUUAUCAAGAGCUUUUCGCAAUCGCGCUAAUUGCUCGGCCAAUGGACACAAGGUCGCGCGUGAGGGAGCGAACAAUGUUAAGCGAGAACGAAACGGCGCCGACGGUGUGAUAUUUGUAUCAAUUGAUAAAUCGCGUCCGGCAGGUAACGAUCUUCCAAUCGAUCCUAAUGUGCGCGCCGUGCGCGCGCGCGAAUUGCGUCAGGCCGAGAAAACGAACACCGGCGCAUCGUGCCUCAUCGACUUUUACGAGUGCCUCGUUGCGGAGAAACUAGAUGCGAGCCGCCGUCCGAAAGUCGGCGAAAGGAUUCACCCUCCGCGCGGAAUUUCGAUCGGCGAUCCCGUCGGCGCGCUCGAUCGAUCGGAUUGCCCGGCGAUCUGCUCGCCGAUCACGCCAGCGCUUCCUCUUAUAUUCCGCUCAAGGCGAGCCAGCCAGCCGAGUGCGAAUCUACGACUCGAAAUCGGAUCGUCCUUCACCGACGUCGGCAUCCUCUAGACGAGCGGUCGGUCGUGCUCGAAUUGCUCCUGUUUGCCGUGACGGCGGCACCCUUCGGAACGAACCGAUGCGCUUCUCAAAGGAGGAACAAAAAGAGAUAGAAAUCUAUAAAAAUGCUAUAAAUCACACUGUACAUCGUAAUUGUGGCAGAAUACAAUGUCAAACGAAGAAUUAAAGCGACAUCCGACGAGUCUGAAACACCCUGUAUCAUUGAUUCCAGCGAGGAACAUCCAUCAUGUUACCCAUAGAAACAGUCCGAGCGGGGAGAUAUGAAAAUGAAGUAACAGACGCGGACAAUAUCCAUUAAUGAUGGCGGAAUGCAGUUCCAAGCGUAAGGUUUCGGCCCAUGAGAUAACUUCUAUCGAAUAUCCUUCGGCUUGAUGGAACGUUAAUCCAGGAGCGAUGUACACAAAGGACGACACCACCCUCAGCGCGAUCGAUAAGAUCUGACUUGGUGAAAUUGUAAGUGACCGGCGAUUAAUCGCAAAGGACGGCUGGAUUGCUCGUCUACCUUCCAAUUAUUGUGGUGCGCUGAUGGAAUUCGAUACACCUCGGGUCCUCAAAUCCGUCGAGCCAGCUGGACGAGGAGUUCCCGCGCCAGUGAACCUCACCUCACCUCUGGCAUAACACGAGCAGCCGAUGUAGAUGAGUGCACGGAUAGCGUGCUAAAAGGGCUGGGUCCUCUCGAGGAAUAUCGGCGUCGCGAUUCUCUUAGAAAGCACCGACGGAGUGGGAUGCGAUGACUCGAUACGGUUGCCGUAUCCUAUUAUCGAACUCGUAGCUCACGAUCGACAUGAUUUUUACCGCAGCCGCGCCCCUUGCAUCCAGCCAGACACUCGUGCGGAGUACAUCUACUCGACCUCGGGAACCAGGCCGCCGUUGACCCCAUUGGCCGACCUUCAGGCCCGUUCGGAGAUGCUCGCCGAUCUGUAUCACCCGGCGUUGCGCAACCACCCUUCAUCC
Molecule: RNA transcript, 1790 nt
Organism: Dinoponera quadriceps
Lineage: Eukaryota; Metazoa; Arthropoda; Insecta; Hymenoptera; Formicidae
Gene name: pupal cuticle protein 20-like
Exons: 7
Source: RefSeq, a predicted model, not a curated record